Molecule: long non-coding RNA, 352 nt
Organism: Lontra canadensis (Northern American river otter)
Lineage: Eukaryota; Metazoa; Chordata; Mammalia; Carnivora; Mustelidae
Exons: 3
Source: RefSeq, a predicted model, not a curated record
AAGGGCCAUCUGACAUCCAGCUGCUACAACAGGAGAAGAGAUUUUAACUAAGAGAAAGGACAGUGGGUUACUUGGGCAAACUCCAUCAGACACCCCAUUAGCCACCUGAAAUAGACCACAAGAAAUAUUCACUGCCCAAAUGCCGUUUCAUUCCUUCAAGAAGAAAAGUUCUCUCCCACACUUUCUGAGGGAAGAUGAUAUGAAGACACACAAGGGAAAGGCCAUGUGAAGACGGAAGGAUAGGAGGCAUGCAUCUACAAUGAAUAUCAAAGAUUGCUGACAAACCACCAGAAGUUUAGGAAGAGCAAGGAAGGAUUCCCCUAUUGGUUUCAGAAGAAGCAUGGCCAUGCCA